AGCCUCGUAUUUAAAAUAGUCUUUGUACCUAGCAGUAUCCUGAGUACGGCGGGACACGUGAAAUCCCGUCGGAAUCUGGGAGGACCAUCUCCCAACCCUAAAUACUCCCUAGUGACCGAUAGUGAACCAGUACCGUGAGGGAAAGGUGAAAAGCACCCCGGGAGGGGAGUGAAAUAGAACCUGAAACCGUGUGCCUACAACAAGUUCGAGCCCGUUAAUGGGUGAGAGCGUGCCUUUUGUAGAAUGAACCGGCGAGUUACGAUAUGAUGCGAGGUUAAGUUGAAGAGACGGAGCCGUAGGGAAACCGAGUCUGAAUAGGGCGCCUUAGUAUCAUGUCGUAGACCCGAAACCAUGUGACCUACCCAUGAGCAGGUUGAAGGUGCGGUAAGACGCACUGGAGGACCGAACCAGGGCACGUUGAAAAGUGCUUGGAUGACUUGUGGGUAGCGGAGAAAUUCCAAACGAACUUGGAGAUAGCUGGUUCUCUCCGAAAUAGCUUUAGGGCUAGCGUCGACAUAAAGAUUCUUGGAGGUAGAGCACUGUUUGGGUGAGGGGUCCAUCCCGGAUUACCAAUCUCAGAUAAACUCCGAAUGCCAAUGAAUUAUGGUCGGCAGUCAGACUGCGAGUGCUAAGAUCCGUAGUCGAAAGGGAAACAGCCCAGACCACCAGCUAAGGUCCCAAAAUAAUUGUUAAGUGGAAAAGGAUGUGGGGUUGCACAGACAACUAGGAUGUUAGCUUAGAAGCAGCUAUUCAUUCAAAGAGUGCGUAAUAGCUCACUAGUCGAGUGACCCUGCGCCGAAAAUGUACCGGGGCUAAAACAAUUUACCGAAGCUGUGGAUACCUUUAUAGGUAUGGUAGGAGAGCGUUCUAUGUGUGGAGAAGGUGUACCGUGAGGAGCGCUGGAACGCAUAGAAGUGAGAAUGCCGGUAUGAGUAGCGAAAGACAGGUGAGAAUCCUGUCCACCGUAAGACUAAGGUUUCCAGGGGAAGGCUCGUCCGCCCUGGGUUAGUCGGGACCUAAGGAGAGACCGAAAGGUGUAUCCGAUGGACAACAGGUUGAUAUUCCUGUACUAGAGUAUGUAGUGAUGGAGGGACGCAGUAGGCUAACUAAAGCAGACGAUUGGAAGUGUCUGUCUAAGCAGUGAGGUGUGAAUUGAGUUAAAUGCUUAGUUCUAUAACAUUGAGCUGUGAUGGGGAGCGAAGUUUAGUAGCGAAGUUAGUGACGUCACACUGCCAAGAAAAGCUUCUAGCGUUUAAACAUACUCUACCCGUACCGCAAACCGACACAGGUAGUCGAGGCGAGUAGCCUCAGGUGAGCGAGAGAACUCUCGUUAAGGAACUCGGCAAAAUGACCCCGUAACUUCGGGAGAAGGGGUGCUGACUUUAAGUCAGCCGCAGUGAAUAGGCCCAAGCAACUGUUUAUCAAAAACACAGCUCUCUGCUAAAUCGUAAGAUGAUGUAUAGGGGGUGACGCCUGCCCGGUGCUGGAAGGUUAAGAGGAGUGCUUAGCGUAAGCGAAGGUAUGAAUUGAAGCCCCAGUAAACGGCGGCCGUAACUAUAACGGUCCUAAGGUAGCGAAAUUCCUUGUCGGGUAAGUUCCGACCCGCACGAAAGGCGUAAUGAUUUGGGCACUGUCUCAACGAGAGACUCGGUGAAAUUUUAGUACCUGUGAAGAUGCAGGUUACCCGCGACAGGACGGAAAGACCCCAUGGAGCUUUACUGNNNNNNNNNNNNNNNNNNNNNNNNNNNNNNNNNNNNNNNNNNNNCGAAGGUAUGAAUUGAAGCCCCAGUAAACGGCGGCCGUAACUAUAACGGUCCUAAGGUAGCGAAAUUCCUUGUCGGGUAAGUUCCGACCCGCACGAAAGGCGUAAUGAUUUGGGCACUGUCUCAACGAGAGACUCGGUGAAAUUUUAGUACCUGUGAAGAUGCAGGUUACCCGCGACAGGACGGAAAGACCCCAUGGAGCUUUACUGCAGUUUGAUAUUGAGUGUCUGUACCACAUGUACAGGAUAGGUAGGAGUCUAAGAGAUCGGGACGCCAGUUUCGAAGGAGACGUUGUUGGGAUACUACCCUUGUGUUAUGGCCACUCUAACCCGGAUAGGUGAUCCCUAUCGGAGACAGUGUCUGACGGGCAGUUUGACUGGGGCGGUCGCCUCCUAAAAGGUAACGGAGGCGCCCAAAGGUUCCCUCAGAAUGGUUGGAAAUCAUUCGCAGAGUGUAAAGGUAUAAGGGAGCUUGACUGCGAGAGCUACAACUCGAGCAGGGACGAAAGUCGGGCUUAGUGAUCCGGUGGUUCCGUAUGGAAGGGCCAUCGCUCAACGGAUAAAAGCUACCCUGGGGAUAACAGGCUUAUCUCCCCCAAGAGUUCACAUCGACGGGGAGGUUUGGCACCUCGAUGUCGGCUCGUCGCAUCCUGGGGCUGUAGUCGGUCCCAAGGGUUGGGCUGUUCGCCCAUUAAAGCGGCACGCGAGCUGGGUUCAGAACGUCGUGAGACAGUUCGGUCCCUAUCCGUCGCGGGCGUAGGAAAUUUGAGAGGAUCUGCUCCUAGUACGAGAGGACCAGAGUGGACUUACCGCUGGUGUACCAGUUGUCUUGCCAAAGGCAUCGCUGGGUAGCUAUGUAGGGAAGGGAUAAACGCUGAAAGCAUCUAAGUGUGAAACCCACCUCAAGAUGAGAUUUCCCAUGAUUUUAUAUCAGUAAGAGCCCUGAGAGAUGAUCAGGUAGAUAGGUUAGAAGUGGAAGUGUGGCGACACAUGUAGCGGACUAAUACUAAUAGCUCGAGGACUUAUCCAA
RNAcentral lists this ribosomal RNA (2792 nucleotides) under metagenome. Its description in RNAcentral is "bacterial LSU rRNA". It matches the Rfam family "Bacterial large subunit ribosomal RNA", at positions 369 to 2925 of the family's 2925-position model. The record is from RNAcentral.